AACCUCCUUCAGAAACUGAACAACCAACAGAGUAUGCUCUCUGGAAUCGAUGCAACAGUAUGAUUUUAUCAUAGCUUGCUCACUCGGUGGAACAUGAUUUGGCCAAAGCAGUCGUCCAUGCCAAGACUGUUCAUCAAGUGUGGCAGGAUUUUAAAAAUCAGUUCUCACAAAAGAAUGCUCCAACCAUAUAUCAGAUACAAAAAUCCAUCGCUUCUCUCUCAUAAGGCACCAUGACAAUUUCAAACUAUUACAAGAAACUCAAAGAUCUCUGGGAUGAAUUAGAAACACAUCAAACCCCUGUCACAUGUAACGAGAUGAACGCACACAGUGCACAAAAGGAAGAAGAUCGAAUGAUGCAAUUCUUGAUGGGUCUCAAGGACAAUUACAAUGGUGUUCGUACAACAUCCUUAUGAUGUCUCCAUUACCUAAUGUUCGUCUAGCCUAUUCACUAGUCAUUCAAGAUGAGACUCAGCGACAGGUAACAUCAGCAUCAACAGAGAAUUUUUCUAUUGUAGCUGCAAUUCAUAGCAGAUCUAACAAUAUGUCGAAUAAUUCUACAAACAAACACUGUGAGCAUUGUGAUAGAAACGGUCACAAAAUUGAAGAAUGCCAGACCCUUAAAUUUCAUUGCAACUAUUGUGACAAGAGAGGACACACUGAGGAUCGAUGUUAAUUUAAAAAUGGGACAUGGGUACCCAAUGACACAGGAACUCAAGCCAGUAGACACAACCAAUCCAAGCAAUAACGUCAAGGAUCGAAAGGGAACACCAAUCCGUGUGGGUCGUUUCCUGCUGCUCACACAGUAGACAUAGCUCCAGUGUAUAGGGGCCAGUCACAUGGCUUCAGCGCGUCAACCCAGCUAGCCUCUCAAUCCAAUCUCUUACAUGAGAUCUCUGCAGAGCAACUCCAGCAACUAGCACAAGCUGUUUCUAUGAUAAGUUCAACUCAUUCCUCUGAUAAUAGCAAUGCUUAUGCUAAUACUGCAGGUUUGGCUCCUUUUUUCAACCCUUCCAUAAAUUCUGUGUUCACCAAACCUUGGAUUUUAGAUAGUGGAACCAUUGAUCACAUCACUUAUGACUCCAUAAUUUUCAUUAAAGCUGAAUCAUCACUUCCCAUUGUUAAUUUACCCAUGGGUUCCCCAUUCACUUCCACUGGCACCAUACCAUUUAAUUCAAAUAUCACAUUAGACAAAGUUUUAUGUGUUCAUCUUUUCGCCUAAAUCUCAUGUCUGUCAGCAAACUCACUCAUUCUCUAAAUUGUUGUGCCAUUUUAUUCCCCACCUUCUGUGUCUUGUAGGACUUGGCUACGGGGAAGAUGAUUGGCUCGGGUAAACAGAGUGAUGGUCUCUAUUACAUGUCUCCAUUAUAACGAACACCUGCCUCAUAUCAAGUUUCCAUUUCCUCUCAUUUAUGGCACAUGAGACUUGGACACCCAUCUCCUCCUCGUCUUAGACUAGCUUCUCUAUUAUUGCCUUCCAAAACUAUUUCCUCUAAUAAUAAUUGUAGUGUUUGUCCCAUGGCCAAAGAAACGAGACUGUCAUUCCCUCUCAGUUUAAUCUCCACUAAAACUUCAUUUGAUUUGUUACAUUGUGAUAUUUGGGGUCCACAUAAAAUUCCCACACAUUCAGGAGCACGUUUCUUUCUUACCACCAUUGUGGAUGAUUUCACUAGGUGCACAUGGAUAUUUUUUAUGCAACAUAAAUCUGAAACCCAAAACCUCCUCAAAUCUUUUGUCGUUUUUGCUCAAACUCAAUUUCAUGCCAACAUUAAAACCAUUCGGGUAGACAAUGGAUCAGAGUUUUUCUCUAUGAGGGAAUUUUUUCAGAAUCAUGGUAUUGCAUAUCAACAUACUUGUGUUUACACUCCUCAACAAAAUAGAGUUGUAGAAUGCAAGUAUCGUCACAUUCUAACCGUCACACAUGCAUUACUUUUUCAGUCUCAUCUACCCCUUAUUUUCUGGGGUGAUUGUGUCUUGACCGCUGUCUAUCUCAUUAACCGAUUACCCUCCCCGUUACUCUCGAAUAAAUCACCUUUUGAGUUUUUAUACAACCGCCCCCCCCUCAUUCGAUCACUUGAGAGUCUUUGGUUGCCUCUGUUAUGCAACUGUUGUCCAUCCUAUUCAAAAAUUUGAACCCCGCGCCACACGUUGUGUCUUUGUUGGAUAUCCUACUGGCCAAAAGGGUUACAAACUCUACAAUUUAGAGACAAACAAAUUCUUUGUCAGCCGUGAUGUUCGAUUCUGUGAACAUUCCUUCCCUUUCUCUCAGUUUCCUGCCUCAUCUACCUCUCAAACUCCUCCACUUUCCUCUGCUUUCUUGGACAACUGGACAUCCACGCCUUAUAUACCCAACCCACCAGUCCAUCCACCUAACCCAAAUGGCAACCCAUCACAUGCAUCUGAUAUACCCCCUCUCCUAUCCCACCUUCGUCCCCCAUACACAUCCCCUCACAUGAGCUGUCACCACCCAUUCCAUCCACCCCUACUCAUCCAGAUCAGCCCAUCAUUCCCCUUACCCCUCCCUGUCAGUCCACUCGUACUAAACAUCCUCUAGCAUGGCAUGCAGACUACCACAUGUUCAACCACGUCAAUCACUCAACCUUAAUGCCUCGUUAUGCAUCAAGUACUCAAUAUCCUCUUUCUCAUUUCCUUACUUAUUCACGUUUAUCUUCUGCCCAUUGUGCCUUUCUUGCUAAGAUUACAGGUCACACAGAACCUACAUCAUAUGCCCAGGCCAUUCUUGACCCACAUUGGCGUCAUGCUAUGACUGCAGAAUUAGAAGCUCUGCAACACAAUAACACCUGGAGUUUGGUUCCACUGCUCGCUGGUCAUAAACCAAUCGGCUGCAAAUGGGUCUAUAAAAUCAAACACAGGUCUGACGGAACUAUUGAACGUUAUAAGGCUCGGCUUGUUGCCAAAUGCUACACUCAAGUUGAGGGCAUUGAUUAUCAAGAGACUUUCUCCCCUACCGCCAAACUUACUACCCUACGUUUUCUUCUUGCUGUUGUUGUUGCUCGUCAUUGGUUCAUCCACCAAUUGGACGUGCAGAAUGCUUUUUUGCAUGGCAAUUUACAUGAAGUGGUGUACAUGGAGCCCCCUCUUGGUCUUCGCCAACAGGGGGAGAAUGUUGUGUGUCGGCUUAACAAGUCACUCUAUACCCUCAAACAAGCUUCUAGAAACUGGUUUUCCACCUUCUCAGAUACUAUUCAGCAAGCCCGCUACCCACAGUCUAAAGCUAAUUAUUCUUUUUUUACCAAGGCUCAAGACACUUCAUUUACUGCAGUUCUGAUCUACGUUGACGACAUACUUCUCACAGGAAAUAAUCUUCAAGAAACGGAACGUCUCAAAAAGUUCCUUCUCAAACGUUUCCGCAUCAAAGAUCUCGGAGAUUUGAAAUAUUUUUUGGGCAUCGAAUUCUCUCGUUCUAAGAAAGGCAUCUUCAUGUCUCAAAGAAAGUAUGCACUCGAUAUUUUACAAGAUUCAGGACUUCUAGCUGCACAUCCAGACAAGUUCCCAAUGGAACAGAACUUGAAACUCACUCCCACAGAUGGAACAUUACUGGAUGAUCCAUCAAAAUACAGGAGACUAGUUGGUCGAUUGAUCUACCUUACUAUCACUAGGCCUGAUAUAGUCUAUCAUGUUCAAACGUUAAGUGAAUUCAUACAUCAGCCCCGCAAAUCUCAUUGGGAUACCGCCAUACGGGUCCUUAAAUACAUCAAAGGGACUCCAGGUCAGGGUUUGUUAUUUUUUGCCACUAACAAUCUUACAUUAAAGGCUUUUUGUGAUUCAGAUUGGGGAGGUUGUCGUGCAACGAGGAGAUCAGUUACAGGAUACUGUAUUUUUCUUGGAAAUUCACUCAUCUCAUGGAAAUCUAAGAAACAAGCCAAUGUUUCAAGGUCAUCAGCAGAAGAUGAAUAUCGAGCCAUGGCCAACACAUGUUUGGAGCUGACUUGGUUACUCUUUAUACUACAGGAUUUAAAAAUCCCACAAACAGCUCCUGCACCAUUAUUCUGUGAUAAUCAAGCAGCUUCACAUAUUGCAGCUAAUACUGUUUUCCAUGAACGUACAAAACAUAUCGAAAUUGAUUGUCACAUAGUUCGAGAAAAACUACAAGCCGGAGUGAUUAGUCCUUCAUAUGUACCUACACGCUUCCAAUUGGCAGAUAUUUUUACAAAGGCAUUGAGGAAGGAUCAGUUUGUGGCAUUGCGCAACAAGUUGGGACUUCAUGAUAUUCACUCUCCAACUUGAGGGAGAGUAUUAAGAAAUACAUGUGUAAAUCUUUGUCGCACCCGACAUCGCGGCGGCCUUAAAUUUUUUUUAAAUCUUUGGAAAGAACGGAUUUCUGGCAUCCUGUUCUUUAAUGAGGAUAUUCUUUGUUUAAGGAGUCGCCACCUAGUAUUAUGGUCACUAGGAACCCUAACUGGUCAACAGAGAUUCCAUGGUACGAGACUGGUUACGCAAAAGGGAAGAUAUUAUCACCCCUUAAGCGUCCUGCCUAAGGCAGACUGCAUUGCUGACUUUGUCAUAAAUUGCUAAUGUUUUGUUGGUUUAUGCUACGGUGGUUUUGCGUGUAAUAUUCCUGACUCUGGAGUCAGUGAAUAUUUAAAACAAAAUAAAUUUAAAUCAGCUAUUUUUUAUUCCUGACUCUGGCGUCAGUGAAUAAACAAAUCAAAUAAAUUUAUUUUUACGCAUCACACAAAAAAUAAAUAAAUUUAAAUCAAUAUUUUUUUUAUUCCCGACUCUGGCGUCAAUGAAUAAAUAAAUAAAAAUAAAUUUAUUUUUACGCAUGCACAUAUUUUUUUAUAUUUUUUCUAGCUAAAUAAAAUACAACGAAUAAAAAUAAUAUAAAUUUAAACUGGUAUUUUUAUUCCUGACUCUGGCGUCAGUGAAUAAACCAAUAAAUUUACAUUAUUUUUAUUCAUGCAUGCACAUUUUUUUAUUUUUUUUAUUUUUCUGCUUUUUAUUUUUUUAUUUUUUUGGGCUGGGCCCAGCUCAGCCCAUGUGGGCUGGACUCAGCCAGCCCGGCCCGGUCACUGGCCCAAAGCCAGUGACCCGGCUGGGCAAAAAAAUCUAAAAGCACGCGUGAAAUGAAUUCACGCGUGCAUGAACACUGUGUGAAGGUAAUUAAAUUACCUUCGCACAGUGUUCUUGUAACAAUUCAAUUUGAAAUGAAGAUGCAAAAGGGGAUGAAGAAACAGGCGUACCUGCUGGCGAGGCGUAGCUGAAAACGAUGGCGCACUGUGCUGGACGACGACACUGCCUCCUCUUGCUUCUGUUUCUUUUCUUUUGCUUUCUUUAUUUCCCGCUGUGCCCACGGUCCUCUCUUCUUUUGUUUGCUCAGUUCUUGAGAUGAACGAACUAAGAAGGUAAUGGGUAUACCGGUUUUCUCUGACUGAUUCCGGGUCUUUCCUUUGUCUGCAGGGACAAAAGCAAUGGCUAAGCCAAUACUCCUAUCUGUCCUGCUCCUUUACUUUUCCUUCUCUUUUCUGUGUUUUGUUUUUUUGCUCUGUAUUUCUGCUCUCUGUUUUUGCUCUCGUUUUCUCUGUUUUUGGGUUCAUCCCCUCCUUCUGCUAUGCUCUGCCUUUUAUAAGGCCCAAAGAGCUUGCCCCUCAAACCAGUCCUGGCUUUGCAGGACUGUUAUCCCUCCACGAACGGGAUUGUGGGCAGAGAACGUGGUCACGAUUGGGUCGGCUUUGCUGCCGAUUUUCCAGCUUCCCUGUUGAAUCGGAAUGAAGAAGAUGCACGACUGUUCCCCAGCAACGGUGCCGUUUCGACAGAAAUGGAAAUAUUCACUUUGACCCCUAAACAGUUUAAACUUAACAAUUGGGAUCCUAAUCAGUAAUAAUUGAUUUCUAACUGGGCCCUUAGGUUAAUUUCAAUUAAAUCCCUGAAU
RNAcentral lists this long non-coding RNA (5890 nucleotides) under Populus trichocarpa (black cottonwood). RNAcentral describes it as "long non-coding RNA (PTRI_LNC004565)". Lineage: Eukaryota; Viridiplantae; Streptophyta; Magnoliopsida; Malpighiales; Salicaceae. The record is from RNAcentral.